This 467-nucleotide ribosomal RNA is filed under the name uncultured bacterium. RNAcentral describes it as "partial 16S ribosomal RNA". It matches the Rfam family "Bacterial small subunit ribosomal RNA", at positions 30 to 507 of the family's 1533-position model. The record is from RNAcentral.
GCGCACGCUGGCGGCGUGCUUCACACAUGCAAGUCGCACGGAAAGGCCCUGCUUUUGUGGGGUGCUCGAGUGGCGAACGGGUGAGUAACACGUGAGUAACCUGCCCUUGACUUUGGGAUAACUUCAGGAAACUGGGGCUAAUACCGGAUAGGAGCUCCUGCUGCAUGGUGGGGGUUGGAAAGUUUCGGCGGUUGGGGAUGGACUCGCGGCUUAUCAGCUUGUUGGUGGGGUAGUGGCUUACCAAGGCUUUGACGGGUAGCCGGCCUGAGAGGGUGACCGGCCACAUUGGGACUGAGAUACGGCCCAGACUCCUACGGGAGGCAGCAGUGGGGAAUAUUGCACAAUGGGCGGAAGCCUGAUGCAGCAACGCCGCGUGCGGGAUGACGGCCUUCGGGUUGUAAACCGCUUUCGCCUGUGACGAAGCGUGAGUGACGGUAAUGGGUAAAGAAGCACCGGCUAACUACGUG